UACGAAGGACCCGAGCGUUAUCCGGAUUUAUUGGGUUUAAAGGGUGCGUAGGCGGAUUAGUAAGUCAGUGGUGAAAGCCCAUCGCUUAACAGUGGAAUUGCCAUUGAUACUGCUAGUCUUGAGUAUGGUUGAGGUGGGCGGAAUGUGUCAUGUAGCGGUGAAAUGCUUAGAUAUGACCCAGAACACCAAUUGCGAAGGCAGCUCGCUAAGCCAUAACUGACGCUGAUGCACGAAAGCGUGGGGAGCAAACAGG
Molecule: ribosomal RNA, 253 nt
Filed under: uncultured bacterium
Lineage: Bacteria
Description: partial 16S ribosomal RNA
Rfam family: Bacterial small subunit ribosomal RNA
Source: RNAcentral